RNAcentral lists this long non-coding RNA (280 nucleotides) under Pelobates cultripes (western spadefoot toad). Lineage: Eukaryota; Metazoa; Chordata; Amphibia; Anura; Pelobatidae. The record is from RNAcentral.
CCGUGGUUGGGAGCAGGGCCGGACUGGGGAAAAAAUUAGGCCCGGGCAUUUUUCAAUUAGAGCGGCCCCCCAAAAAGGGGGCAGGGCCAGAGAAAGUGAGCAUGUUGGUUCAAUGCGCAGAGCCCCGCUGAAGAGCUCUAGCAUUAGAAAAAGGCCCUGUAUUUGUUCUGCGCAGCGCAAGCAAAUGUAAUAACAUGCUUGCGCUGUGUUUGCUUUUAAAUUGUCUCUGGUGUCUCCACAAGUGGGAUACCAGAGGACAAAAGGGCCAGGAAAGUGUAUG